GCUUUGGUGCCUUCGGGAACUCUGAGACAGGUGCUGCAUGGCUGUCGUCAGCUCGUGUUGUGAAAUGUUGGGUUAAGUCCCGCAACGAGCGCAACCCUUAUCCUUUGUUGCCAGCGAUUCGGUCGGGAACUCAAAGGAGACUGCCAGUGAUAAACUGGAGGAAGGUGGGGAUGACGUCAAGUCAUCAUGGCCCUUACGAGUAGGGCUACACACGUGCUACAAUGGCGCAUACAAAGAGAAGCGACCUCGCGAGAGCAAGCGGACCUCAUAAAGUGCGUCGUAGUCCGGAUUGGAGUCUGCAACUCGACUCCAUGAAGUCGGAAUCGCUAGUAAUCGUAGAUCAGAAUGC
Molecule: ribosomal RNA, 349 nt
Filed under: Enterobacter sp. 190S
Lineage: Bacteria; Pseudomonadati; Pseudomonadota; Gammaproteobacteria; Enterobacterales; Enterobacteriaceae
Description: bacterial SSU rRNA
Rfam family: Bacterial small subunit ribosomal RNA
Source: RNAcentral